GCGGUAAGGCCCUUCGGGGUACACGAGCGGCGAACGGGUGAGUAACACGUGGGUGAUCUGCCCUGCACUUCGGGAUAAGCCUGGGAAACUGGGUCUAAUACCGGAUAUGAGCCUCCACUGCAUGGUGGGGGUUGGAAAGGUUUACUGGUGCAGGAUGGGCCCGCGGCCUAUCAGCUUGUUGGUGGGGUAAUGGCCUACCAAGGCGACGACGGGUAGCCGGCCUGAGAGGGCGACCGGCCACACUGGGACUGAGACACGGCCCAGACUCCUACGGGAGGCAGCAGUGGGGAAUAUUGCACAAUGGGCGAAAGCCUGAUGCAGCGACGCCGCGUGAGGGAUGACGGCCUUCGGGUUGUAAACCUCUUUCAGCAGGGACGAAGCGAGAGUGACGGUACCUGCAGAAGAAGCACCGGCCAACUACGUGCCAGCAGCCGCGGUAAUACGUAGGGUGCGAGCGUUGUCCGGAAUUACUGGGCGUAAAGAGCUCGUAGGCGGUUUGUCGCGUCGUCUGUGAAAACCAGCAGCUCAACUGCUGGCUUGCAGGCGAUACGGGCAGACUUGAGUACUGCAGGGGAGACUGGAAUUCCUGGUGUAGCGGUGAAAUGCGCAGAUAUCAGGAGGAACACCGGUGGCGAAGGCGGGUCUCUGGGCAGUAACUGACGCUGAGGAGCGAAAGCGUGGGUAGCGAACAGGAUUAGAUAC
This 702-nucleotide ribosomal RNA is filed under the name Rhodococcus sp. 215/d. RNAcentral describes it as "bacterial SSU rRNA". It matches the Rfam family "Bacterial small subunit ribosomal RNA", at positions 66 to 785 of the family's 1533-position model. The record is from RNAcentral. Lineage: Bacteria; Bacillati; Actinomycetota; Actinomycetes; Mycobacteriales; Nocardiaceae.